Molecule: long non-coding RNA, 411 nt
Filed under: Phoenix dactylifera (date palm)
Lineage: Eukaryota; Viridiplantae; Streptophyta; Magnoliopsida; Arecales; Arecaceae
Description: long non-coding RNA (PDAC_LNC002914)
Source: RNAcentral
GAGGGCUGUAGGUUUGAGCUUUGUGGCACUUUAUUGUGAUCAUUGGAAUAAAGCUGGGGCUGCAUUGGGUACGGCAGGAGCCCCACAGGAGAACCUAACCUCUAUUAUUCCUUGUUUUUAGUCAUGGGCAAGGCUAAUGGGGUCCAGACUAGGACAUGGCUGUUCUUGCAUGCGUUUUUUCAAAUGGCUAUGAUGCUGUUUCAGGUGCAAGUCAUUGUCAGGCCUUUUACAUAUUAACUAAACUUUAUAGGAUUGUCUGAUUUCUCUCUUUUUCUUCAACCAAAGUAACAGUUGGUUGGUGAAUAAAUACCUUCAUUGUGUUAGGUGUGACAGCUGAAACUAUGGUGAUUGAUGUUUGACCAUUUCUCGAUUUUGAUGCAACCUCUAAAGAUUUCAAGUUAGGAUCCUAUA